Kogia breviceps (pygmy sperm whale) is the source of this 417-nucleotide non-coding RNA. The record is from RefSeq and is a predicted model, not a curated record. NCBI's taxonomy places the organism in Eukaryota, Metazoa, Chordata, Mammalia, Artiodactyla, Physeteridae.
CAUCCAAAGGUCCUAAGAGUCAAAAUGAAAAUGAUUUCUUUCUCAAGAAUCACUGUAGAUUCUUGAGAAAGAAAAUGACACGAGGAGUGGUGGUCAAGGCCGGUUUCAGUACCCUCCCUCGGGGCCACGCUAGGAUCUGCUUCUAUAAGGGGAAAAGACUGAAAUAGCCCUCCAGGAGGCUUUUGAGAAUACGACUGCCAAUUACUGCUCCUUCUUCAGCCACCCCCUUGCUGGGUCCCCCGUUCUCCACCCUCCAUCGUCCAGAGCAAGAGACCAGAACAGGACAACCCUCGAGAUAUAGCUAUUGUUGAACGAAAAUUCUCCAUGGGUCCCUCCUCUUUUUGCAUGUCUUACCAGCCAAGUCACUGACAGCAUUUUGUUCUUUUCAAAGAUGUUUGUUUAGAGAUCAUAUCUCCC